AAAGCGUGCGCAGGCGGUUGUGCAAGACCGAUGUGAAAUCCCCGGGCUUAACCUGGGAAUGGCAUUGGUGACUGCACGGCUAGAGUGUGUCAGAGGGGGGUAGAAUUCCACGUGUAGCAGUGAAAUGCGUAGAGAUGUGGAGGAAUACCGAUGGCGAAGGCAGCCCCCUGGGAUAACACUGACGCUCAUGCACGAAAGCGUGGGGAGCAAACAGGAUUAGAUACCCCGGU
Molecule: ribosomal RNA, 230 nt
Filed under: uncultured bacterium
Lineage: Bacteria
Description: partial 16S ribosomal RNA
Rfam family: Bacterial small subunit ribosomal RNA
Source: RNAcentral